UACGUAGGGUGCAAGCGUUGUCCGGAAUUAUUGGGCGUAAAGAGCGUGUAGGCGGCCCGAUUAGUCCGCUGUGAAAGUCCAGGGCUCAACCCUGGAAUGCCGGUGGAUACUGUCGGGCUAGAGUCCGGAAGGGGCGAGUGGAAUUCCUGGUGUAGCGGUGGAAUGCGCAGAUAUCAGGAGGAACACCGGUGGCGAAGGCGGGUCUCUGGGCCGAUACUGACACUGAGAAGCGAAAGCGUGGGGAGCGAACAGG
Molecule: ribosomal RNA, 253 nt
Filed under: uncultured bacterium
Lineage: Bacteria
Description: partial 16S ribosomal RNA
Rfam family: Bacterial small subunit ribosomal RNA
Source: RNAcentral